This 55-nucleotide ribosomal RNA is filed under the name uncultured nuHF1 cluster bacterium HF0130_24M16. The record is from RNAcentral.
AGAGUUUGAUCCUGGCUCAGAACGAACGCUGGCGGCAUGCUUAACACAUGCAAGU